This 69-nucleotide transfer RNA is filed under the name Artibeus jamaicensis (Jamaican fruit-eating bat). RNAcentral describes it as "tRNA-His". It matches the Rfam family "tRNA". Rfam says of the family: Transfer RNA (tRNA) molecules are approximately 80 nucleotides in length. Lineage: Eukaryota; Metazoa; Chordata; Mammalia; Chiroptera; Phyllostomidae. The record is from RNAcentral.
GUAAGCAUAGUUUAAACAAAACAUUAGAUUGUGAAUCUAAAAACAGAAACUUAAUCUUUCUUGCUUACC